Molecule: ribosomal RNA, 392 nt
Filed under: uncultured bacterium
Lineage: Bacteria
Description: partial 16S ribosomal RNA
Rfam family: Bacterial small subunit ribosomal RNA
Source: RNAcentral
AUACGGAGGAUGCGAGCGUUAUCCGGAUUUAUUGGGUUUAAAGGGAGCGUAGGCGGGAGCUUAAGUCAGCGGUUAAAUGGUGCGGCUCAACCGUGCCCUGCCGUUGAAACUGGGUUUCUUGAGAGUGCAAGAGGCGGAUGGAAUUCAUGGUGUAGCGGUGAAAUGCUUAGAUAUCAUGAAGAACUCCGAUUGCGAAGGCAGUCCGCUGGGGCACGUCUGACGCUGAUGCUCGAAGGUGCGGGAAUCAAACAGGAUUAGAUACCCUGGUAGUCCGCACGGUAAACGAUGAUUACCCGCUGUCGGCGGCAGACAGUCGGCGGCCAAGCGAAAGCGAUAAGUAAUCCACCUGGGGAGUACGCCGGCAACGGUGAAACUCAAUUGAAUUGACGGGG